AGGCUCUUGGGUUGUAAACCUCUUUUAUCAGGGAAGAAGAUCUGACGGUACCUGAUGAAUCAGCAUCGGCUAACUCCGUGCCAGCAGCCGCGGUAAUACGGAGGAUGCAAGCGUUAUCCGGAUUUAUUGGGCGUAAAGCGUCCGCAGGUGGUUUUUCAAGUCUGCUGUUAAAGCGCGAGGCUUAACCUCGUAACGGCGGUGGAAACUGAGAGACUUGAGUAUGGUAGGGGUAGCGGGAAUUCCCAGUGUAGCGGUGAAAUGCGUAGAUAUUGGGAAGAACACCAGCGGCGAAAGCGCGCUACUGGGCCAUAACUGACACUCAUGGACGAAAGCUAGGGGAGCGAAAGGGA
This 350-nucleotide ribosomal RNA is filed under the name Stenomitos frigidus I3. RNAcentral's name for it is "bacterial SSU rRNA". It matches the Rfam family "Bacterial small subunit ribosomal RNA", at positions 412 to 777 of the family's 1533-position model. The record is from RNAcentral. Lineage: Bacteria; Bacillati; Cyanobacteriota; Cyanophyceae; Leptolyngbyales; Leptolyngbyaceae.